GUCGAACGGGGUUUAUAUAACAGAACUCUCCGGAGGGAAGAUAUAUAAACCUAGUGGCGGACGGGUGAGUAACGCGUGGGCAACCUGCCCUGUACCGGGGGACAACAGCCAGAAAUGGCUGCUAAUACCGCAUAAGCCUGCUGUGCCGCAUGGCACAGCAGGGAAAACCACGGUGGUACAGGAUGGGCCCGCGUCUGAUUAGUUAGUUGGCAGGGUAACGGCCUACCAAGACAACGAUCAGUAGCCGGCUUGAGAGAGUGGACGGCCACAUUGGGACUGAGACACGGCCCAGACUCCUGCGGGAGGCAGCAGUGGGGAAUAUUGCACAAUGGGGGGAACCCUGAUGCAGCAAUGCCGCGUGGGUGAAGAAGCACUCCGGUGCGUAAAGCCCUGUCAGCAGGGAAGAAAAUGACAGUACCUGGACAAGAAGCCCCGGCUAACUACGUGCCAGCAGCCGCGGUAAUACGUAGGGGGCAAGCGUUAUCCGGAUUUACUGGGUGUAAAGGGAGCGCAGGCGGCGUGGCAAGUCAGAUGUGAAAACCCGGGGCCCAACCCCGGGAGUGCAUUUGAAACUGCCAUGCUGGAGUGCCGGAGAGGUAAGCGGAAUUCCUAGUGUAGCGGUGAAAUGCGUAGAUAUUAGGAGGAACACCAGUGGCGGAGGCGGCUUACUGGACGGUAACUGACGCUGAGGCUCGAAAGCGUGGGGAGCAAACAGG
This 716-nucleotide ribosomal RNA is filed under the name uncultured bacterium. RNAcentral describes it as "bacterial SSU rRNA". It matches the Rfam family "Bacterial small subunit ribosomal RNA", at positions 61 to 776 of the family's 1533-position model. The record is from RNAcentral.